Non-coding RNA from Paramisgurnus dabryanus, 859 nucleotides. Lineage: Eukaryota; Metazoa; Chordata; Actinopteri; Cypriniformes; Cobitidae. The record is from RefSeq and is a predicted model, not a curated record.
UAACACUUACAGUAAUGUUUUAUUUGUUAGCAUAGCAUGAUAUUAGAUUUAAACACUUAAUACAUUUUUAAAUCAAUCACUUUGUCUCUGUUUACAUUAGUUAAUGCACAAUGAACAUUAUCAAAUAUUAUUAAUGUUGUAAAAUAUAUUGUUCAUUGUUAGUUCAUAUUAGCUAAGGCAUUACCAAAUGUUAAGGAAUAAACUCUUAUAGUAAAGUGUUACUAAAUUUUCUUUUACCAUUUCCUUCACAAUGUCUAUUUAUUUCUAUGGCUAACAGAUUUUGUAACAUUUGUCUUUUUUACAGUCUUACCAUUGCUUGUAAGCUGGAUUGGGUAAGAUGGAUCAUCUUUAAAGGCACCAGGAGUUAAGGCAGAUGUGGAGGCACAACGGGUGAUACCAGACACACACCAAGCACAUUAUGUUCGGACAUUCAAUCAUGACAGGAUCCAGGUGGAUGCUGUCCAUUGAGAAAAGAGUUUGUUCAGCGGUUUCUGGAUAGAAUUAAUUCCAAAGAUGGGAAAAAGUGCACAUCCAGACAAGGAGCAAGCAAAAAGACAAGGAACUUGGUGCAGAGAAAAGCUGUGGCCAUUAACCCCCAUGUGAACAGCUUCAUGCAGUCCCUGAUUGAGUUCGAAUGGACGACUUCAAAGUAAAGGCCACUGUGGUCUGUCUGCCACAGUUUAAUGCAUUUAUUUUUAGUGUUAAAUGAAAUUCAAGUAGAAUAUUUAAAACUAUGGGCCAGUGUUGUUUUUACCACAGUGAAAUGUUACCUUUUAGUCGAUGAUGGACUUUAAACUGAAAACUUCAAACUAUGGAACAGUGUUCUAUUUGCCAGAGUUAAAUAUGUUACAGCAGGGGU